RNAcentral lists this ribosomal RNA (512 nucleotides) under uncultured bacterium. RNAcentral's name for it is "bacterial SSU rRNA". It matches the Rfam family "Bacterial small subunit ribosomal RNA", at positions 975 to 1479 of the family's 1533-position model. The record is from RNAcentral.
CUGGGUUUGACAUGUACAGCAUGUGCCUAGAGAUUGGUAUUACCUUGUGGCCCGUGUGCAGGUGGUGCAUGGCUGUCGUCAGCUCGUGUCGUGAGAUGUGUGGGUUAAGUCCCGCAACGAGCGCAACCCUUAUCUUAUUUUGCCAGCACGUAAUGGUGGGGACUCGUGAGAGACUACCGGGGUCAACUCGGAGGAAGGUGGGGAGGAUGUCAAGUCAUCAUGUCCCCUUAUGUCCAGGGCUUCACACAUGUUACAAUGGCCGGUACAAAGGGAUGCGAUGCCGUGAGGUGGAGCGAAUCCUUUCAAAGCUGGUCUCAGUUCUGAUCGGGGUCUGCAACUCGAUCCCGUGAAGUCGGAGUCGCUAGUAAUCGCAGAUCAGCAACGAUGCGGUGAAUACGUUCCGCGGGCCUUGUACACACCCCCCGUCACGUCAUGAAAGUCGGUAACACCCGAAGCCGCGCGGCCUAACCCCUUGAGGGAGGGAGCCGUGGAAGGUGGGAUCGGCGAUUGGG